This 540-nucleotide long non-coding RNA is filed under the name Pan troglodytes (chimpanzee). RNAcentral's name for it is "long non-coding RNA NONPTRT017934". Lineage: Eukaryota; Metazoa; Chordata; Mammalia; Primates; Hominidae. The record is from RNAcentral.
CUUGCCUGUGUGUGCUGCUUCAGAGCUUGCAAAACACCUUCACUUCCGUGAUCUCACCUAAGCCUCCCCCACGUGACCCUGUGGAAUUCUCAUUGCCAGAUGUGCAGCUUCAGAAAGAUGAGCUUGACAGACAAAAUCCCAAGCGCAUUAACGCAGUCUCCCAUUUGCCUUCGAGAACACCCCUGAUCCAGACAAAAAAGAGCAUUUCCUCCGGCAGCAGUGAGUUUGAGGAUCUGAAUGCAUAUGCUUCCCAAAGAAAUUUUUACAAGAGAAACUUAAACCGCUACUGCCAGGAGCGCUGGCCAUUCCAGCCAUGCCUCACUGGGAGGCCCUGAGCAUUCUAGCCGGCGGCUGCACAGCUGCUGGGGCAUCUCCAUGAGGAAGAGGGCGGUGGACAGGAGUCAUGAAGACUAAUUCGGAAACUCCCCUGAAGGAGGAGAAGACGUCUGAGCCAUCCUUGUGCCACCAAGCAAGAGUCACUCCAGCUCCUAAAAAGCCACCAUGGGAAGAGAUGCCUCCAAUUAAAGUUCUUGAUUGCAC